UUUUUUUUCGUAAAAAGAUUACGUCGUCGGCUACGGCAAGUGCAGAGGACGAUGCACAGAUCCUCGGACAUCUUUCAUCUGAAAUUGAGCCUAGCGGAGCAAUGGCUGCUACAACUCAUUAACAACAUAACUGACAACUAACCCACCAUAUCCUGAUAUCGUUUCCGGUGACAUGAAAGACGACGUGAAAAAAAAUCUAAUCUAUAAUAGAGUGUGAUCAUUCCUAGGCUUAUCGGUAAAUUCCAGUUUCUAUCUAGGUCCACAUAUUAAUUUUAUUUUCAAUAAAAGAACAAAGUUCAUAUGUCCCCUGCAUUGCACAUAUUUUAUUUAACCAAGGAACAAGGGC
This 346-nucleotide long non-coding RNA is filed under the name Mytilus galloprovincialis (Mediterranean mussel). The record is from RNAcentral. Lineage: Eukaryota; Metazoa; Mollusca; Bivalvia; Mytilida; Mytilidae.